CUCAAAUUCGACAAUCCCUAGGAGCCUCGAAUGUAUUUGCCAAGCCUGAAACACACAUGAACUUGCAGAAAAGGACAAAUAUUUACCCUGGAAAUGCUACCCAACAAUUGCUUCGUCUCGGUGUGCUCACAUGCAAAGGGAUAAGCCUUCCUUUAUGAUGGUAAUAUACUUGUCAUCAAGAUGGUGCGGACGUAAGAGAAAGCAUAUUAGAUACAGUAAAAGAUAAACAUCAUAGACAAUGACAGGUGGGAGUUAGGACGAACCUUUUCCUGCUUGGCACUGAGUCACCUACAAUAGCCCUUUUGUCUCGCAAACCACCACAUAAUCUCUUCGACCAUGACUGCACUCUAAAAUUAGGCAGAGAAACUAUGCCAAGUGACUUCUGUGCUUAUUUUAUAUUUUUAUCUUUUCUUUUAUAUUUUAUUAUUUUUAUCAUUAAGUAAUUCAUUAUUAAUUGAUCUAAUAGUAAUUAUCUACGAAAUAAUCAAAGAAUUUCCUUCAAUUCUAAUAUGGCAGACUAGGCACUUAUCCCAUCCAUCCAGCUGUUCAAAAGUAAGAGUGCAA
This 564-nucleotide unclassified non-coding RNA is filed under the name Hevea brasiliensis (rubber tree). The record is from RNAcentral. Lineage: Eukaryota; Viridiplantae; Streptophyta; Magnoliopsida; Malpighiales; Euphorbiaceae.